Molecule: long non-coding RNA, 324 nt
Filed under: Citrus maxima (pomelo)
Lineage: Eukaryota; Viridiplantae; Streptophyta; Magnoliopsida; Sapindales; Rutaceae
Description: long non-coding RNA (CMAX_LNC004017)
Source: RNAcentral
AUACAUUUCCCUAUAACUAUAUUUCCACCUUUACUUGUCCUGUAACCCUAAUUAAUGUCUAGUUCAACCUUGUAUUGAAAACUAAUAUAACGCUAUACUCACGACCACUACACCCACUCAGGUCUGUAGGAAUACCUCAUUUUGCGAACAAUACAAUCCCAGACUGAGACAACAGGAGACAACAGAAGAGAAAAAUGGUAAGCACUCACAGACCCAUCCCUAGGCUGCAUUCUUCCUAAUUUCCCAGAACCCUUGCAUUUCCCCAUUCUGUAAACACCAGAAGAAUCAGUAAAGUUAUGAAAAUUGCAGAAGCUACAAUUCAGU